This 74-nucleotide transfer RNA is filed under the name Gemmatimonadota bacterium. RNAcentral describes it as "Gemmatimonadetes bacterium tRNA-Arg". It matches the Rfam family "tRNA". From Rfam's summary of the family: Transfer RNA (tRNA) molecules are approximately 80 nucleotides in length. Their secondary structure includes four short double-helical elements and three loops (D, anti-codon, and T loops). Further hydrogen bonds mediate the characteristic L-shaped molecular structure. tRNAs have two regions of fundamental functional importance: the anti-codon, which is responsible for specific mRNA codon recognition, and the 3' end, to which the tRNAs corresponding amino acid is attached (by aminoacyl-tRNA synthetases). tRNAs cope with the degeneracy of the genetic code in two manners: having more than one tRNA (with a specific anti-codon) for a particular amino acid; and 'wobble' base-pairing, i.e. permitting non-standard base-pairing at the 3rd anti-codon position. RNAcentral also lists the same sequence under 1 other name. Lineage: Bacteria; Pseudomonadati; Gemmatimonadota. The record is from RNAcentral.
GGGCCCGUAGCUCAAUUGGAUAGAGCGUCUGACUACGGAUCAGAAGGUUGGGGGUUCGAGUCCCUCCGGGCCCG